UACGUAGGUGGCAAGCGUUAUCCGGAAUUAUUGGGCGUAAAGAGCGCGCAGGUGGUUAAUUAAGUCUGAUGUGAAAGCCCACGGCUUAACCGUGGAGGGUCAUUGGAAACUGGUUGACUUGAGUGUAGAAGAGGGAAGUGGAAUUCCAUGUGUAGCGGUGAAAUGCGUAGAGAUAUGGAGGAACACCAGUGGCGAAAGCGGCUCUCUGGCCUGUAACUGACACUGAGGCUCGAAAGCGUGGGGAGCAAACAGG
This 253-nucleotide ribosomal RNA is filed under the name uncultured bacterium. Its description in RNAcentral is "partial 16S ribosomal RNA". It matches the Rfam family "Bacterial small subunit ribosomal RNA", at positions 524 to 776 of the family's 1533-position model. The record is from RNAcentral.